UACGUAGGGUGCAAGCGUUGUCCGGAAUUAUUGGGCGUAAAGAGCUCGUAGGCGGUCUGUCGCGUCUGCUGUGAAAACUCAGGGCUUAACCCUGAGCUUGCAGUGGGUACGGGCAGACUAGAGUGCGGUAGGGGAGACUGGAAUUCCUGGUGUAGCGGUGAAAUGCGCAGAUAUCAGGAGGAACACCGGUGGCGAAGGCGGGUCUCUGGGCCGUAACUGACGCUGAGGAGCGAAAGCAUGGGGAGCGAAUAGG
This 253-nucleotide ribosomal RNA is filed under the name uncultured bacterium. Its description in RNAcentral is "partial 16S ribosomal RNA". It matches the Rfam family "Bacterial small subunit ribosomal RNA", at positions 524 to 776 of the family's 1533-position model. The record is from RNAcentral.